Molecule: non-coding RNA, 442 nt
Organism: Pelobates cultripes (western spadefoot toad)
Lineage: Eukaryota; Metazoa; Chordata; Amphibia; Anura; Pelobatidae
Source: the annotation of a GenBank genome assembly
UUUUUUUAUUGUGGUAGCCCACAAAAUAUUGGGACAUAUAAAAAAAGACAAUUCUGUUGCGCAGAGUAAUUGCUGACAUUAUAGUUGCGCAGGCACUUUGUUGACUCUAGAGAACCUCGGGCCAAUUGCAUGCGGAUGUCAUCCAUAUCAACUUUCAAUGCAACAUUUCUGCACCUACCCUGGUGACCAUGGGUAAUGGGGAAUCAGGGUUCCAUUCCCUACAGAGACCCUGUGAAACGGCUACCACAUGCAAGGAAGGCAGCAGGCGCGAAAAUGACCCACUCCCGACGCGGGAAGGUAGUGACGACAAAUAACAAUACAGGACUCUUUAGAGGCCCUGUAAUUGUAAUGAGUCCACUUGAAAUCCUUUAACUCUGACCAAUUGGAGGGAAGUCUGGUGCAGAGCCACUGACCCAUGCAUGCUGCAGCUGAAACUCCACUA